UACAGAGGGUGCAAGCGUUGUUCGGAAUCAUUGGGCGUAAAGCGCACGUAGGCGGCUUGCCAAGUCAGGUGUGAAAGCCUGGGGCUCAACCCCAGAAGUGCACUUGAAACUGGCGAGCUUGAAUGUCGGAGAGGGCAGUGGAAUUCCGAGUGUAGAGGUGAAAUUCGUAGAUAUUAGGAAGAACACCGGUGGCGAAGGCGGCCCACUGGUCCGGUACUGACGCUGAGGUGCGAAAGCGUGGGGAGCAAACAGG
Molecule: ribosomal RNA, 253 nt
Filed under: uncultured bacterium
Lineage: Bacteria
Description: partial 16S ribosomal RNA
Rfam family: Bacterial small subunit ribosomal RNA
Source: RNAcentral